AACGAACGCUGGCGGCGUGCCUAACACAUGCAAGUCGAACGAGAAACUCCGGGCUUGCUCGGGGGAGUAAAGUGGCGCACGGGUGAGUAACGCGUGGGUAACCUACCCCUGAAACGGGGAUAAGCCACCGAAAGGCGGUCUAAUACCCGAUACGGUCCUGAGGACCCCGGUCUUCAGGAUGAAAGGUGACCUCUUCAUGAAAGUUGCCGUUCAAGGAUGGGCCCGCGUCCCAUUAGCUUGUUGGUAGGGUAAUGGCCUACCAAGGCGACGAUGGGUAGCUGGUCUGAGAGGAUGACCAGCCACACUGGAACUGAAACACGGUCCAGACUCCUACGGGAGGCAG
This 343-nucleotide ribosomal RNA is filed under the name uncultured Pseudomonadota bacterium. RNAcentral's name for it is "bacterial SSU rRNA". It matches the Rfam family "Bacterial small subunit ribosomal RNA", at positions 29 to 351 of the family's 1533-position model. Lineage: Bacteria; Pseudomonadati; Pseudomonadota. The record is from RNAcentral.